UGUGAUUGUUGUGCAAGUGACAGAAACAUGACAAGAAGAUGGUCACUUUACAUGGAUGUUUUGCCACCUGUGGUGAUUAUAGGCAAUGAAUGUUCUGACAUGGCUUUACUCACUUUGUUCAAAGCUGUAACACUUCAAGGGAUGAACAACCAUGUCUUUAUUGCUUAUGCUUAUGCUGUUGGUGAAGGUGAGAAAAACACAAGAAGGGGGGGGGUUGAAUUGUGUUUUCUUUUUCUGUCUAAAAAAAUUCUUCUUCUGAUAAAUCUUCAGAAGCAGACUGAGAGUGCUUCUGAUGAAAUGAUCAGAAUCAGAUAUGCAGCGGAAAGAACAGAGCAGAGAAAAGAAAGACAAAGACACAAGCAGUUAUCCUGGUUCCUUCCACAACACGGAAGUAGUCCAGUCCCCCUUGCACUUCCAAGGAGAUUUCACUAUAAUCACAANNNNNNNNNNNNNNNNNNNNNNNNNNNNNNNNNNNNNNNNNNNNNNNNNNNNNNNNNNNNNNNNNNNNNNNNNNNNNNNNNNNNNNNNNNNNNNNNNNNNNNNNNNNNNNNNNNNNNNNNNNNNNNNNNNNNNNNNNNNNNNNNNNNNNNNNNNNNNNNNNNNNNNNNNNNNNNNNNNNNNNNNNNNNNNNNNNNNNNNNNNNNNNNNNNNNNNNNNNNNNNNNNNNNNNNNNNNNNNNNNNNNNNNNNNNNNNNNNNNNNNNNNNNNNNNNNNNNNNNNNNNNNNNNNNNNNNNNNNNNNNNNNNNNNNNNNNNNNNNNNNNNNNNNNNNNNNNNNNNNNNNNNNNNNNNNNNNNNNNNNNNNNNNNNNNNNNNNNNNNNNNNNNNNNNNNNNNNNNNNNNNNNNNNNNNNNNNNNNNNNNNNNNNNNNNNNNNNNNNNNNNNNNNUUAGUUUAUAGUCCACUUAUUUGUUUUCUUGUUAUCAUUGCAAUUAAGGAUGGAAAAGUUAGCUGCAAAGAGUAGAAGUAGCAAUGCAAAGGUAGUAGGAAGCAUAAUAUCAAUAGCAGGUGCUUUUGUGAUGACUUUCUACAAAGGACCGUCGAUCAUGAAUUCUUCAUCACUUCAUCAACCAGCUGGCUUUCUCAAGUCAGUGGAUUCAAGUUGGGCCAUUGCUGGCAUUCUCCUAAUAUUUGACUAUUUUCUGUCUUCACUAUGGUACAUUUUACUGGUAGGUAGGGUAGGGUUAGUAUUAUGCAAAAUGAGAGAUAUUAUACAUUAAAAAUUAAAGUCCAUAAAGUAUAUGAAUAUUGACACAGUCACGAACACCAUAUAUAACACUGACACUAGGACAUAGACAUCAAUAAUAAUUUGAUGAAAUGGAAAAGAUUGGAUGUAACAUGCAUGUCUAUGUCUGACACCAGCACGUGCCAAACACUAAUGCCUGUUGAACACUGAACACGCCUUCAAUGUGAAGUAUCGGUGCUGCAUAGUAUUUACUAGAAUGUGUCACAAUUGGCUUCCUUACAAUGAAAUAUUUUUUCAUUUCUUGUUAUUUAAUGAGAUCAUCAAAAUUUUAGUACUGAAAAGUUUCAGUUCCUUUAUUCAUUUCACAGGUACAUAUCUUGAAAGAGUUCCCAGAUGAACUAACUAUAAUAUUGUUUUACUCCACAACUGCCACCAUCAUAUCUAUAGUUGUAGCUUUGUUAUCAGUUCCAAAAGCAAGUGCUUGGAAAAUAGGAUUGAAUCUCUCACUCGUCUCCGUUGUUUGUUCUGUAAGAUAGUCAGCAAAACUAUAUAUUUUGACAUCAAAAUUGAUAUCAAAAUUUAACGUCAACUUAGAUGGUUAACACGAUUCAAAUAUCUGUGUUCAAAUAUAAAUGAUAUUCAUUAAUCAUAAUUUGAGUUCCAAUAUACACUUGAAAAUCAUGGUUAACGAUAUUCAAAUUUGUGGUUAAUUGCAUCGAGUGGACGAUGAAUGAGUUGUGACACUUGACAAAUCAGUCACUGGACGUAAUUAAACACUUAUUUGAAUUGUGUGUCAUCUUGGUGGUUGUUGACUUUUGAUAUCAAUUUUGUGUUGAAAUAUCAUUUCUAAACAGUUUGCACCUCGUAAUCGUAAUUUAUUGAUGACAAAUUUCUCACCCCAGGCAAUUUUCGGAAAGUUGAUAGGCAAUACAGUUUGUGCCUGGUCUGUUCGGUUAAAGGGGGCAGUCUAUGUAACCUCAUUCAAGCCACUUCAAAUUGUUAUUUCUGCUGGCUUGGGUGUUAUAUUCCUUGGUGAUACUCUUCAUGUUGGAAGGUAUGGUUAUUUGAAUUUUUUGCUUUUGAUUCUUUGCUUGAAAUGAAACAUUAGGAAGCAAAUAUACAAAGAUCCCACCAUGUAGGUUCAUUAUUGUUCGGUUUAGGAAGGAAAAUCUAACUGUUACAACAGUUCGAUAAUGAUUCGUUUCAAACCAAAUUGAUAUAAAGGUUUAGUGCACUGAUCAUGUGGUUUUCAACCGAGCUGAAAAUACCUUUACAAAAAACCAAACUGAUUUUUUGUGGACCGACAUGUACGAAAUUGCUAUCAUCAAUUAAUAAUAAGGGCUUUUGAAAGCAAAAACAAAUAAAAAACUAAAAACCGAACUGAAUUGUGUUAAACCAAACUGAAUCACAACGAUGAUAACCGAACUUCAAUUCAGUUGGUGAACUAUUAGUCACAUUUUGGCUUUUCAAUGUCGUUUUAAUCCGUUUAAAGUUUUAGUUCGAUUUUUAGUUUUCUUUCACAACCACACCACCACGUGGAGCCUGCGGAAGAUAUAUGUGGAAAAUUAAGAGUUAGCUAAUUACCUAUUAUACGGCAUGUUAUCGCGUUUAGAUCGUGUUUGAAUAAACAACUUAGCUAAACAUUUAUAGCAUAAAUGCUUAUCGUAUGAGUGAUUAUGUAUAAGCUAUUAACUAAAUAUAAAAUAAAGUCAAAUUAUUUUUAUAUAAGCUAUAGAUUGUUUUAUAAUCUUCCCGGAGAGAUUAUGAAAUUAAAUUGUUUCCAUAAACUCGUCGAAGCUAGGUCUCCAAACCAUAUGUUGCUUUUCAUCCUCAACCAACCAGCACAAUUUAUGAUUUUUCAACUUAUUUGAGUUUAGUUCUUUUGCUCAUUUCUGAUUUCAAUGAUUGUUAAAGUGUUCAUUUGUGUAUAUUUUUAAUGCAUUUUGCAGUAUAAUUGGAGCCACAAUAAUAUCAAUUGGUCUUUAUGCUGUAUUAUGGGGCAAAGCUACAGAAGAGAUAGAGGAAGAUGUUGGUAGUUUGGAGUCACCAUCUAAUGAGAAUGCACCUCUUUUGCAAAGCUCUAGAACUCAAACUUUUGAAAAUAAAACAAAUGGAAAUGUUUAAAAUAUCAUUAUCAAAUUGAGAUUCAAAUACAAUCCGAACUUNUUUUGCUUCUGAUGACUUUCUGCUUCUGAUGACUUUCUGCUUCUGAUGACGUCAUCUCUUCAGGAGCAGUUUUCUUCAGAUGCUCAGAAUUUCUUUUUCUUUCCAUUGUUCUUCCAAGACCUAUUGAAAUAACUUGAGUAGCCUUUGGUCCUGUACACUUGAACAAUUAUUAGUAAUAACCAAUUGACAAAUUUUAAUAACAUGUUAUCAUCAAAACUCAAUAAGGUUCAUUGUGAAACACAUUUUGUUCCAACAGUUGGUACUUCUGUUCUUCUUCCUGUCACUCUUUUCAAUAGAAGUAGAAGGUUCACAUUUAUUUAUUGCAAUAUUCAUCAACAUACAACAUAUGUAUAUAACUUGGUGUCUGUUUGGAUUGACGGUGAGUUUGACAAAAUCACGCAUGUUGCGAAGAUUUUGGCAACACGGUGCUUCCACGAUUUUGUCAAAUUCACCGUGUCUUCGCUUGAUUUCAACAAAAGCUACACUUUAUGCUUCCGUUUAUUAAUUUCCUUAUGUUUUUCUUUUUGCAGAUCAAGAGUUGUUCCUCCUCUCAGUUUCUCUAUAAUAUGUAAAAGUGUGCUUCUUGGUGCAAUAGGGUAAUGGCAAAAAUGGCCUUGUACUUUAUUACAAUAUUUGAUUUGACUGUCAGGGCCUUUUAGGAGUUAACUAUCAGAUUAGUCUUUUGUAGGAUACUCUCAAAUAGGUCCUUGAGAUUACGAGUAUUUCGAAAAAGUCCAUGACUCUAUUAAACUAUUAAGUUGGUCCCUACACUCAACCACUUAAUAUCGAUUAAGUCCUUAUAUUUUAACAACUUACUGUCAAUUUGAUCCUUAAGUUUAUCCGCUUACUAACUAUGUAGUCCUUAGCAUAUUCUUUGAAGGACUAAUGUGAGUAAAUUUGACAGAGUCAGAGACUUUUUUGAAAUAUUCAUAAAGUCAGGGACGUAUUUGAGAGCGACCUACAAAAUCAAAGACUAAUUUGAUGGUUUACUCGGUCUUUUAGUGUGUCUCAUGUUUUGGAAUUUUUUGGUACUGUUAUGCAGGUGUUCAUCUCAGAUUCUUGGGUAUAUGAGUAUUAACUACAGUUCUCCAACACUUGCUUCAGCAAUUGCUAAUCUGGUACCUGCUUUCACUUUCAUGCUAGCUGUUACUUUCAGGUUUGCUAACUAGUAUAUUUGAAUUUGGCAGAUUCUUACUCUUUUAAACUGCAGUUACUUCUUAAAAAAAAACUGUUAUUAAAUUUUGUUACUCAAGGUUAGUCUGAUGGUAUUGACUUGGGACAUUGGAUUAUGCUCCUCCUCAAGGUCUCAAGUUCGAUUCUUUUCAGUGCUAAUUUGGAUUAGCUAAUUUAACUUCUUAAAAAAAAUGUUACUAAAGGAAAUUUUUCGUUACUUUUCUUGCACUCAAAGAAAUGUCUUAGAAACAAUAAUACACUCUGAUACUUGUUAGUAGUGUGCGAAAAGAGAGCAUGACUUAUUUACAAACUCCACCAGUCACACUCACACCCUUCAACAUGUCAUUGACUGCGUCAAAUUGUCGAUCGUGGGAAAUAGUAGUUUAUUCGAAUUCUGUUACGCAACAGAGUUACAGUGCCGCUAUCGCUGCUAUUUGAUAACAAUUUGUACUAAAUAUUUUGUUGCAGAACAAUAGUGAUUUGUUCAAAUUCCACUGCACUAUAGUGCUGUAGUGCUAUAGCCGCUAUUUAACAACUUCGGCCAAGAAAAUUGUUUAAAACUACAUUUUUCGCAGUGCUUUAUAUUUAUGAAACACCUUAGUUUAUAGUCCACUUAUUUGUUUUCUUGUUAUCAUUGCAAUUAAGGAUGGAAAAGUUAGCUGCAAAGAGUAGAAGUAGCAAUGCAAAGGUAGUAGGAAGCAUAAUAUCAAUAGCAGGUGCUUUUGUGAUGACUUUCUACAAAGGACCGUCGAUCAUGAAUUCUUCAUCACUUCAUCAACCAGCUGGCUUUCUCAAGUCAGUGGAUUCAAGUUGGGCCAUUGCUGGCAUUCUCCUAAUAUUUGACUAUUUUCUGUCUUCACUAUGGUACAUUUUACUGGUAGGUAGGGUAGGGUUAGUAUUAUGCAAAAUGAGAGAUAUUAUACAUUAAAAAUUAAAGUCCAUAAAGUAUAUGAAUAUUGACACAGUCACGAACACCAUAUAUAACACUGACACUAGGACAUAGACAUCAAUAAUAAUUUGAUGAAAUGGAAAAGAUUGGAUGUAACAUGCAUGUCUAUGUCUGACACCAGCACGUGCCAAACACUAAUGCCUGUUGAACACUGAACACGCCUUCAAUGUGAAGUAUCGGUGCUGCAUAGUAUUUACUAGAAUGUGUCACAAUUGGCUUCCUUACAAUGAAAUAUUUUUUCAUUUCUUGUUAUUUAAUGAGAUCAUCAAAAUUUUAGUACUGAAAAGUUUCAGUUCCUUUAUUCAUUUCACAGGUACAUAUCUUGAAAGAGUUCCCAGAUGAACUAACUAUAAUAUUGUUUUACUCCACAACUGCCACCAUCAUAUCUAUAGUUGUAGCUUUGUUAUCAGUUCCAAAAGCAAGUGCUUGGAAAAUAGGAUUGAAUCUCUCACUCGUCUCCGUUGUUUGUUCUGUAAGAUAGUCAGCAAAACUAUAUAUUUUGACAUCAAAAUUGAUAUCAAAAUUUAACGUCAACUUAGAUGGUUAACACGAUUCAAAUAUCUGUGUUCAAAUAUAAAUGAUAUUCAUUAAUCAUAAUUUGAGUUCCAAUAUACACUUGAAAAUCAUGGUUAACGAUAUUCAAAUUUGUGGUUAAUUGCAUCGAGUGGACGAUGAAUGAGUUGUGACACUUGACAAAUCAGUCACUGGACGUAAUUAAACACUUAUUUGAAUUGUGUGUCAUCUUGGUGGUUGUUGACUUUUGAUAUCAAUUUUGUGUUGAAAUAUCAUUUCUAAACAGUUUGCACCUCGUAAUCGUAAUUUAUUGAUGACAAAUUUCUCACCCCAGGCAAUUUUCGGAAAGUUGAUAGGCAAUACAGUUUGUGCCUGGUCUGUUCGGUUAAAGGGGGCAGUCUAUGUAACCUCAUUCAAGCCACUUCAAAUUGUUAUUUCUGCUGGCUUGGGUGUUAUAUUCCUUGGUGAUACUCUUCAUGUUGGAAGGUAUGGUUAUUUGAAUUUUUUGCUUUUGAUUCUUUGCUUGAAAUGAAACAUUAGGAAGCAAAUAUACAAAGAUCCCACCAUGUAGGUUCAUUAUUGUUCGGUUUAGGAAGGAAAAUCUAACUGUUACAACAGUUCGAUAAUGAUUCGUUUCAAACCAAAUUGAUAUAAAGGUUUAGUGCACUGAUCAUGUGGUUUUCAACCGAGCUGAAAAUACCUUUACAAAAAACCAAACUGAUUUUUUGUGGACCGACAUGUACGAAAUUGCUAUCAUCAAUUAAUAAUAAGGGCUUUUGAAAGCAAAAACAAAUAAAAAACUAAAAACCGAACUGAAUUGUGUUAAACCAAACUGAAUCACAACGAUGAUAACCGAACUUCAAUUCAGUUGGUGAACUAUUAGUCACAUUUUGGCUUUUCAAUGUCGUUUUAAUCCGUUUAAAGUUUUAGUUCGAUUUUUAGUUUUCUUUCACAACCACACCACCACGUGGAGCCUGCGGAAGAUAUAUGUGGAAAAUUAAGAGUUAGCUAAUUACCUAUUAUACGGCAUGUUAUCGCGUUUAGAUCGUGUUUGAAUAAACAACUUAGCUAAACAUUUAUAGCAUAAAUGCUUAUCGUAUGAGUGAUUAUGUAUAAGCUAUUAACUAAAUAUAAAAUAAAGUCAAAUUAUUUUUAUAUAAGCUAUAGAUUGUUUUAUAAUCUUCCCGGAGAGAUUAUGAAAUUAAAUUGUUUCCAUAAACUCGUCGAAGCUAGGUCUCCAAACCAUAUGUUGCUUUUCAUCCUCAACCAACCAGCACAAUUUAUGAUUUUUCAACUUAUUUGAGUUUAGUUCUUUUGCUCAUUUCUGAUUUCAAUGAUUGUUAAAGUGUUCAUUUGUGUAUAUUUUUAAUGCAUUUUGCAGUAUAAUUGGAGCCACAAUAAUAUCAAUUGGUCUUUAUGCUGUAUUAUGGGGCAAAGCUACAGAAGAGAUAGAGGAAGAUGUUGGUAGUUUGGAGUCACCAUCUAAUGAGAAUGCACCUCUUUUGCAAAGCUCUAGAACUCAAACUUUUGAAAAUAAAACAAAUGGAAAUGUUUAAAAUAUCAUUAUCAAAUUGAGAUUCAAAUACAAUCCGAACUUCAUAUAUAUUUAAUUAUAAUUUGUAAAAACACAUUUAAUUAUAAAUUGAUAUUUUUUAUAAAUAAAAAAAAAAUAUCAAACUAGUCCACCGAAAUUGAUACCAGGAAAAUUGAAUAUGACAACUUGAGACGAAUACACUCUAAAAUUUUAAGUCAACACUAACAGAUCAACCCAAAUGAGUUUAUAAAUUGAAUUUUGUAAUGAAUCGUUAGAUAUAUCUACAAUAAAAAUAUGACAUUUCAAUUUGUUUGCCAGUUUCAUGAAGUCAAGAAAAAAACUAAUUCUCUAUUAAUUUAGUUUUUUGAAGAAACUAAAUCACCUAAAUUAGUACUAGAGAGAAUUGAACCUGAGACCUCGAAAAUAAGCACACUCCGAAGUCCCAAGUCAAUAUCACAAGACCAAGUGGGUUUAGCUAAUUAGUUUUAUGUUACCCUUCUAUUUUCAAAUUUGUUUAUUUCUUUGACCUUGUCUUUUUAUUUUCUUAUCACUAAAUCAAACUCUUUAAUUUUCCUUUUAUGUUACCCUUCUAUUGGGCAAAGAAAUAAACUAAUUUGAAAAACAAUUUUUUUUGGCUGUAUUACAAAGGAACAAAGUAAAAGAAAAUAGAAAAAAUCUAAACAAUACAUAGUUAGUUUGUCUCUUAAAAAGAGAGACUCUAAACUAUCUCGAGGACGAUCCCAAUGAGAUGAAUGAGCGGAAUGGACACCUUUCCUAACUAUAAAGUCAGCACAUAUAUAAUGUUUUCUUGUAAUGUGAACUAAAUUGAUAGUCCCAUGGUAUAAAACACCGUAGAUUUCUAGCAACAACACAUGCAAACUUGUAUUUGUCAUAUUGAGAAUAAGAUCUAUCGCCUCCAAAUAAUCAUUUUUAGAAAUGAAAUUUGUAUAACCGAGAUUAUAACAUGAUGCAAUUUCAAUUUGUUUUUUUCAAAGUAUUUUUAAUCAAUAAACUAAUAUAAUGUGUAUGAUAAUGGUUCAAUAGCGCCAGUUUUUUUUUUUUUUUUUUUUAUAUAUAGGAAAUAUAAAUUAUCUUAGUGGCUAAACUGUCAUUUUCACGUAUUGUAAAAAAAGAAAAUUGUCAUUUUCACGAUUGUUUGUAUUUUAUUGCGACAUCGACCCAUUAUGGUCCCCCAAUUUUCCACGUCAAAUGUACUAUAACACAUAGUAAUAUUUAAUGCAAAGUUAAAGAUAUUUUGUCACACCAUUAUGAGAAAUUAUUAUAUGACAUGACUAAAAUCAUAACUUUUUUUUUUUAAAGAAACAAUCAUAAUAUUAUAAACAUACGUUUUUGACAAAAAAAAAAAAAAAACAUUUUACAAGAGACUAAUUUAUUAUUAUUAUUAUAAAAAAUGGCUUAUAGCUUUAUCUUUCAUUUUGGUUUUUAUUUGAAAAGAUGGUCAAAAUCAAAACCUCAUCAUAAAAAACAUCUCAGAACUUCAACAAAGUUUUGUGAUUGUUGUGUAACUGAAAGAACAUAGAAGUGACAGAAACAUGACAAGAAGAUGGUCCUUGUACAUGGAUGUUCUGCCACCUGCUGUGAUUAUAUGCUAUGAAUGUAUUGACAUGGCUUUACUCACUUUGUUCAAAGCAGCUACACUUCAAGGGAUGAACAAUCAUGUCUUUAUUGCUUAUGCUUAUGCUGUUGGUACUUCUGUUCUUCUCCCUGUCACUCUUUUCACUAGAAG
Molecule: long non-coding RNA, 9266 nt
Filed under: Medicago truncatula (barrel medic)
Lineage: Eukaryota; Viridiplantae; Streptophyta; Magnoliopsida; Fabales; Fabaceae
Description: long non-coding RNA (MTRU_LNC003785)
Source: RNAcentral